Molecule: transfer RNA, 92 nt
Filed under: Streptomyces lavendulae subsp. lavendulae
Lineage: Bacteria; Bacillati; Actinomycetota; Actinomycetes; Kitasatosporales; Streptomycetaceae
Description: tRNA-His(gtg)
Source: RNAcentral
CCGCCUGCGGGUCGAGGAGGGCCCCCACCCGGUGCAGGGGGCGGUCGAGGUCGGUGAAGCGGUUCCCGCCGAUGGUGGCGGCGCCGGCGGUC